Molecule: ribosomal RNA, 497 nt
Filed under: uncultured bacterium
Lineage: Bacteria
Description: partial 16S ribosomal RNA
Rfam family: Bacterial small subunit ribosomal RNA
Source: RNAcentral
GAUGAACGCUGGCGGCGUGCCUAAUACAUGCAAGUCGAGCGAACAGACGAGGAGCUUGCUCCUCUGACGUUAGCGGCGGACGGGUGAGUAACACGUGGAUAACCUACCUCUAAGACUGGGAUAACUUCGGGAAACCGGAGCUACUACCGGAUAAUAUAUUGAACCGCAUGGUUCAAUAGUGAAAGACGGUUUUGCUGUCACUUAUAGAUGGUUCCGCGCCGCAUUAGCUAGUUGGUAAGGUAACGGCUUACCAAGGCAACGAUGCGUAGCCGACCUGAGAGGGUGAUCAGCCACACUGGAACUGAGACACGGUCCAGACUCCUACGGGAGGCAGCAGUAGGGAAUCUUCCGCAAUGGGCGAAAGCCUGACGGAGCAACGCCGCGUGAGUGAUGAAGGUCUUCGGAUCGUAAAACUCUGUUAUUAGGGAAGAAAAGAUGUGUAAGAAACUAUGCACGUCUUGACGGUACCUAAUCAGAAAGCCACGGCUAACUACGUG